Molecule: long non-coding RNA, 192 nt
Organism: Daphnia pulicaria
Lineage: Eukaryota; Metazoa; Arthropoda; Branchiopoda; Diplostraca; Daphniidae
Exons: 2
Source: RefSeq, a predicted model, not a curated record
CAUUAAUACCACGGGGGAUUGGGAUAGAAUUUAGCAGGUUUUUUUCUUAUUAGUGAGUUGAGUAACGUUUGUUUUUCUAGUCAAUUAAUGGAUGAAUCGCAUGGCGGGGAAUAUACGAUGAAUUAUUGAUGCUGCCAUAGUUUGUCGAUUUCUUAUUUCAAUUUGUAAACAGAAAAGAAUUAUUGUUUAGAA